GAUGAACGCUGGCGGCGUGCUUAACACAUGCAAGUCGAACGAUGAAGCCCAGCUUUCCGGGUGGAUUUGUGUCGAACGCGUGAGUAACACGUGAGUAACCUGCCCUUGACUCUGGGAUAAGCCUGGGAAACUCGGCCUCUUACUGCGUAUGCCUUCUCAUCGCCUGUUGGUGGUUUGUGGGAUUUAUUGGUCUUGGAUGGACUCGCGGCCUAUCAGCUUGUUGGUGAGGUAAUGGCUCACCAAGGCGACGACGGGUAGCCGGCCUGAGAGGGUGACCGGCCACACUGGGACUGAGACACGGCCCAGACUCCUACGGGAGGCAGCAGUGGGGAAUAUUGCACAAUGGGCGAAAGCCUGAUGCAGCGACGCCGCGUGAGGGAUGACGGCCUUCGGGUUGUAAACCUCUUUCAGUAGGGAAGAAGCGAGAGUGACGGUACCUGCAGAAGAAGCGCCGGCUAACUACGUG
RNAcentral lists this ribosomal RNA (466 nucleotides) under uncultured bacterium. Its description in RNAcentral is "partial 16S ribosomal RNA". It matches the Rfam family "Bacterial small subunit ribosomal RNA", at positions 28 to 507 of the family's 1533-position model. The record is from RNAcentral.